AACACGUAUCCAACCUGCCGAUGACUCGGGGAUAGCCUUUCGAAAGAAAGAUUAAUACCCGAUGGCAUAGUUCUUCCGCAUGGUGGAACUAUUAAAGAAUUUCGGUCAUCGAUGGGGAUGCGUUCCAUUAGGUUGUUGGCGGGGUAACGGCCCACCAAGCCUUCGAUGGAUAGGGGUUCUGAGAGGAAGGUCCCCCACAUUGGAACUGAGACACGGUCCAAACUCCUACGGGAGGCAGCAUG
RNAcentral lists this ribosomal RNA (242 nucleotides) under uncultured bacterium. RNAcentral describes it as "partial 16S ribosomal RNA". It matches the Rfam family "Bacterial small subunit ribosomal RNA", at positions 112 to 353 of the family's 1533-position model. The record is from RNAcentral.